GCCCGGAUGGCGAAAUUGGCAGACGCGCUACAUUCAGGUUGUAGUGAGCUCAGCUCGUGCAGGUUCAAGUCCUGUUCCGGGUA
Molecule: transfer RNA, 83 nt
Filed under: Ignavibacteriota bacterium
Lineage: Bacteria; Pseudomonadati; Ignavibacteriota
Also listed under: 1 other name
Description: Ignavibacteriae bacterium (activated sludge metagenome) tRNA-Leu
Rfam family: tRNA
About the family: Transfer RNA (tRNA) molecules are approximately 80 nucleotides in length. Their secondary structure includes four short double-helical elements and three loops (D, anti-codon, and T loops). Further hydrogen bonds mediate the characteristic L-shaped molecular structure. tRNAs have two regions of fundamental functional importance: the anti-codon, which is responsible for specific mRNA codon recognition, and the 3' end, to which the tRNAs corresponding amino acid is attached (by aminoacyl-tRNA synthetases). tRNAs cope with the degeneracy of the genetic code in two manners: having more than one tRNA (with a specific anti-codon) for a particular amino acid; and 'wobble' base-pairing, i.e. permitting non-standard base-pairing at the 3rd anti-codon position.
Source: RNAcentral